UUAGUAAAAGGCGAAAGAA
Molecule: small nuclear RNA, 19 nt
Filed under: Arabidopsis thaliana (thale cress)
Lineage: Eukaryota; Viridiplantae; Streptophyta; Magnoliopsida; Brassicales; Brassicaceae
Description: snRNA_03206
Source: RNAcentral